Anguilla anguilla (European eel) is the source of this 1079-nucleotide long non-coding RNA. RefSeq lists it as uncharacterized. The record is from RefSeq and is a predicted model, not a curated record. The transcript has 3 exons. NCBI's taxonomy places the organism in Eukaryota, Metazoa, Chordata, Actinopteri, Anguilliformes, Anguillidae.
GCACAAAGGUGGUGUCCUUUUUCUGAAGGCAUCUCCAUUCCUUUGAGAGGAAACUUAAUUUGAAUUCUUAGAAGUGAUUUGUGGUGUUGCGUCACUGCGAUGUUGUGUUGUUAACUUAGUUUGUUUCCAGUUCUUUUGUGUGUGUGUGUAGAGCGAAAGUGAUUUAUUCACUUGUAUGCCAGUGGUAUAUCGGGUGCACAGCUAGUGAAUGGAGAGCACAGGCACAGACACAGGCAAGCACGUGAUGUGCCUCAGCACAGAUAAAAAUAAGAUAUCCCCAGGCAUCUUUGCUCCAGAGCACAACAGAAGAAGUGUCACGGCAAUGAAGACUGCUUAUCGAUCAAAUGAAACAAGCCAAAAGAAAACAAGCUGUGUUUCUGCAACAAAUAAGCUUACGUAUUUUGUAUGCUCAUUACCAAUCAAAGAUCCAAAGCAAAACUUCAAUUGGAACAUGAUGUUAUGGUCAAAUGAGACCAAAAUCAGUCACACACACCAGAAGUGUCGUCAGCAUCAGAAGAUGGACACUUAAAUAGAGAAUGACUUCUACUAAACCUACAGUUACUGUAAGUCUUACAUUCAAUUCCCAGUUGUAUAAAAGAGUCGUUAGUCAUUGUAAAAUUAAAAAUUGUAUCAAUUUUUCAAUAGAUAAAGGCUCCAAAGAAGUACAUGCCAUGUGAUGUACAAUGCAAAAGCAAUGGAAAUACUGGAUUUAAUGUAGUAGGGCAGAUUUGUAAGUCUGCAUUUUUUUCCUGAACACUAGUUGAACAGCAAGAUUGAUUGAAGAAGCAGUUACUAUUUUCCUGCAAAAACAUCUUUCACCACAUUAUGAAAGGGCUUAGUCAACAAUGUAUAUUAGCAUUCAUUUCAAGGACAUAUUUUCAUUUGGUAAAAAGGACAAAAAGGAGUUUUCUUCACACAAUCUGUCCACUGUGCUUUGAAUUCCACAUUCAAUGGGAGGCCUCCCACUUACUGCAGAUGCACAAUGACAGGCAUUCUCUGGCUUAUAGGUAAGAGUCUUCACACCCCAAAUGAGAGCUCUGCUGGUUAAAAAAAGCAUUUGUCACUUUACAGACGGUAGC